This 44-nucleotide small RNA is filed under the name unclassified sequences. RNAcentral's name for it is "SAM-SAH-Weickhmann-2018 RNA". The record is from RNAcentral.
ACUCACAACGGCCACCUGAAGUGAGUCUUAAUAUUUAUGGAGCU